This 353-nucleotide long non-coding RNA is filed under the name Vulpes vulpes (red fox). RNAcentral's name for it is "lncRNA (ENSVVUG00000019966.1)". Lineage: Eukaryota; Metazoa; Chordata; Mammalia; Carnivora; Canidae. The record is from RNAcentral.
GCAAGAUUCCCUUGACAUAGCUUACAAUUUUGAGUGCACAGCACUGCUAAAACAAGAGUAAGCCAAGACCACUUCAAGAGAGAUUCCUUUCAGUUGAUGUCAGGAAAUAUGCUCAACGGGGAGACAGAAAGAAGAAAUAUGAGCUCCACCUAGUCCUGUUCUUCCAAUCUCUUGAUAUUUGUUGUAUUCUGGAUCUGCAUUUGAAUGAUUGAAGAGGUGAAGCAAUUUCUACCAACAAUGGGCUCCAAUCUUAUCUUAGAGAUCAGUAAGCUCAGGAGAAAUAAAGACCAAAAGGCCUCCAGUAUCUCUUCUGCCAUCACCCUACGCUCCAAGUUAGGCUUGGAGAGUGACAC